GUGGGGAAUCUUGCGCAAUGGGGGAAACCCUGACGCAGCAACGCCGCGUGGGUGAUGAAGGCCUUCGGGUCGUAAAGCCCUGUCAGGUGGAAAGAACAGUGGCGAUGUAAAUAACUUCGCCAUUUGACGGUACCACCAGAGGAAGCACCGGCUAACUCCGUGCCAGCAGCCGCGGUAAUACGGAGGGUGCAAGCGUUGUUCGGAAUUAUUGGGCGUAAAGCGCGUGUAGGCGGUCGGGUAAGUCAGGUGUGAAAGCCUUUCGCUUAACGGAAGAAGUGCAUUUGAAACUGCUCGGCUUGAGUACGGGAGAGGAGAGUGGAAUUCCCGGUGUAGAGGUGAAAUUCGUAGAUAUCGGGAGGAACACCGGUGGCGAAGGCGGCUCUCUGGUCCGAUACUGACGCUGAGACGCGAAAGCGUGGGGAGCAAACAGGAUUAGAAACCCGGGUAGUCC
This 451-nucleotide ribosomal RNA is filed under the name uncultured bacterium. RNAcentral's name for it is "bacterial SSU rRNA". It matches the Rfam family "Bacterial small subunit ribosomal RNA", at positions 354 to 796 of the family's 1533-position model. The record is from RNAcentral.